AAUAGAUACCCAGGUAGUCCACGCCGUAAACGAUGGAUACUAGCUGUUCGGCGUAAGCUGAGUGGCUAAGCGAAAGUGAUAAGUAUCCCACCUGGGGAGUACGAACGCAAGUUUGAAACUCAAAGGAAUUGACGGGGGGCCCGCACAAGCGGUGGAGCAUGUGGUUUAAUUCGAUGAUACGCGAGGAACCUUACCAGGGCUUAAAUGUAGAUUGACAGGUUUAGAGAUAGACUUUUCUUCGGACAAUUUACAAAGUGCUGCAUGGUUGUCGUCAGCUCGUGCCGUGAGGUGUCAGGUUAAGUCCUAUAACGAGCGCAACCCCUGUUGUUAGUUGCCAGCGAGUCAAGUCGGGAACUCUAACAAGACUGCCAGUGCAAACUGUGAGGAAGGUGGGGAUGACGUCAAAUCAUCACGGCCCUUACGUCCUGGGCUACACACGUGCUACAAUGGUAGGGACAGAGAGCAGCCACUUCGCGAGAAGGAGCGAAUCUAUAAACCCUAUCACAGUUCGGAUCGGAGUCUGCAACGUCCG
This 532-nucleotide ribosomal RNA is filed under the name uncultured bacterium. Its description in RNAcentral is "bacterial SSU rRNA". It matches the Rfam family "Bacterial small subunit ribosomal RNA", at positions 777 to 1314 of the family's 1533-position model. The record is from RNAcentral.